RNAcentral lists this ribosomal RNA (702 nucleotides) under uncultured bacterium. RNAcentral's name for it is "bacterial SSU rRNA". It matches the Rfam family "Bacterial small subunit ribosomal RNA", at positions 8 to 710 of the family's 1533-position model. The record is from RNAcentral.
AGAGUUUGAUCAUGGCUCAGGACGAACGCUAGCGGCAGGCCUAACACAUGCAAGUCGAACGGUAAGGUCCCUUCGGGGAUACACGAGUGGCGCACGGGUGCGUAACGCGUAUGCAACCUACCCUUAAGAGAGGGAUAGUCGCGGGAAACUGCGAAUAAUACCUCAUGUUAUUACGAAAUGGCAUCGUUUUGUAAUCAAAGCUCCGGCGCUUAAGGAUGGGCAUGCGUAGCAUUAGCUAGUUGGUGAGGUAAUGGCUCACCAAGGCAACGAUGUUUAGCUGGUCUGAGAGGAUGAUCAGCCACACGGGCACUGAGACACGGGCCCGACUCCUACGGGAGGCAGCAGUGAGGAAUAUUGGGCAAUGGGGGCAACCCUGACCCAGCCAUGCCGCGUGAAGGAAGACGGCCCUCUGGGUUGUAAACUUCUUUUAUCAGGGGAUAAUUGUGCUCUAUACGAGCGCUUGUAGGUACCUGAUGAAUAAGCGCCGGCUAACUACGUGCCAGCAGCCGCGGUAAUACGUAGGGCGCAAGCGUUGUCCGGAUUUAUUGGGUUUAAAGGGUGCGCAGGCGGAUUGAUAAGUUAGUGGUGAAAGCGUCCGGCUUAACCGGAUACCCGCCAUUGAUACUGUCAGUCUUGAGUGCGGAUGAGGAGGUUGGAAUGCGUGGUGUAGCGGUGAAAUGCAUAGAUAUCACGCAGAACGCC